CUCUCCGUCUCAAGAUGAAUUCUAUAUCUUGCUCUGGAAGAUGAGACCGAGGAAAGCAGGGCUGGCGUGAGGGGGACCUUGGUAACCCCUCCAUGGAGAGAGAUGUAGUCACAGACGAUUCUCUGCGCUACAACGGUGUCUUCGUGAAUGUUAGCAGUUUCAAUUUCUUUGUUCACCGAAAAGCCCCGCUCAACUGUUGCCUGCCCGUGUGAUAGAAGUAGAAGCUUCUGGAUAAAGGACCAAAGUUGUGGUUCAGGGUUGCUGUACAUAAAGGCUGGGUUCAGACAAGUUAAUUGUCUAACAAUCGGAAACUUCAAAGGGCUCCUCUCCUGAAUCUUCUGGACCAUUUUGGAUAGACACUCCAUGCAUUGGUUUUGAAAAUGUAGGAUGGAAAGUUCCUCUGAGGAUUUACUCCGCUGUUGGAGUUCCUAAGGAUGAAUAAGGACUAGCUGAAGUGAACUGUCCCUGAUUACAACACAACUGUUUACAACACAACUCUCCUUGCUCUUUCCCUUUAACCACCAAAUUGCAAUUUUGUGAAACGCCUACUUGUCGGCCAUGAUUAUUUCCAGAAUACCUUUAUGGCAGUCUCUGCACCAAUGCCGAUGUCCACUGCCUUUGGAUGCACCCUCGACUGCUUGUCAGUGACAUCAAGCCGUACCAAGUGCUGAGGUGUGACAUCAGUCAGUAGCUCUCGCUUGAUGAAUCGCCUCAGCAAAUUCUACAAAACAGGGAAAACAUAUCCGAGAAUGAAAAUGUCUUUGGGACACAGUAGCAUCAUUGUCACAAUACACUUGAGCUAUUUGAAAUUGAUUAUAUAGAUGUAGUCUGUGGUCACAUAUUGGCCCAAAUCAACCAGCAGUAGUCUUAUUGUAAUGAAAAGAGAUGAUGUUAAAUAAAAAGACAUAUAUUCACACAGAUUCACUUAAAAGAUUCAGCUUACCUUCAGUAAUUCAGCCAAGUCAUUGGCAAAGAAUGGAAGCACAGGUUCAUCCGUUUGAUACUUUGUCAAGAAGGGUGUCACACUUCGUGAAACUGCCAUGAAAAAAUGCAGCUUUGCCAAAAUAAGAGGGUCUUUGGUUGCCACCUCGAUGGUGUCAUAAGAAGACGUUCCAGGGUUUGGGAGCUUCUUGGUUGUAACAGCAUCAAC
Long non-coding RNA from Eleginops maclovinus (Patagonian blennie), 1150 nucleotides. RefSeq lists it as uncharacterized. NCBI's taxonomy places the organism in Eukaryota, Metazoa, Chordata, Actinopteri, Perciformes, Eleginopidae. The record is from RefSeq and is a predicted model, not a curated record. The transcript is spliced from 2 exons.